CAUACAAGGCAGACGGCUCAGUAACGCGUAGUCAACCUAACCUAUGGACGGGAAUAACCUCGGGAAACUGAGAAUAAUGCCCGAUAGAACACUAUACCUGGAAUGGUUUGUGUUCCAAAUGAUUUAUCGCCGUAGGAUGGGACUGCGGCCUAUCAGUUUGUUGGUGAGGUAAUGGCCCACCAAGACUAUUACAGGUACGGGCUCUGAGAGGAGUAGCCCGGAGAUGGGUACUGAGACACGGACCCAGGCCCUAUGGGGCGCAGCAGGCGAGAAAACUUUGCAAUGUGCGAAAGCACGACAAGGUUAAUCCGAGUGGUUUCUGCUAAAGGAACCUUUUGUCGGUCCUAGAAACACCGAUGAAUAAGGGGUGGGCAAGUUCUGGUGUCAGCCGCCGCGGUAAAACCAGCACCUCAAGUGGUCAGGAUGAUUAUUGGGCCUAAAGCAUCCGUAGCCGGCUCUGUAAGUUUUCGGUUAAAUCUGUACGCUCAACGUACAGGCUGCCGGGAAUACUGCAGAGCUAGGGAGUGGGAGAGGUAGACGGUACUCGGUAGGAAGGGGUAAAAUCCUUUGAUCUAUUGAUGACCACCUGUGGCGAAGGCGGUCUACCAGAACACGUCCGACGGUGAGGGAUGAAAGCUGGGGGAGCAAACCGGAUUAGAUACCCGGGUAGUCCCAGCUGUAAACUAUGCAAACUCAGUGAUGCAUUGACUUGUGGUCAAUGCAGUGCUGCAGGGAAGCCGUUAAGUUUGCCGCCUGGGAAGUACGUACGCAAGUAUGAAACUUAAAGGAAUUGGCGGGGGAGCACCACAAGGGGUGAAGCCUGCGGUUCAAUUGGAGUCAACGCCGGA
RNAcentral lists this ribosomal RNA (848 nucleotides) under uncultured crenarchaeote. Its description in RNAcentral is "bacterial SSU rRNA". It matches the Rfam family "Archaeal small subunit ribosomal RNA", at positions 73 to 922 of the family's 1478-position model. The record is from RNAcentral. Lineage: Archaea; Thermoproteati; Thermoproteota.